GGGGCUGUAGCUCAAUGGCAGAGCACCUGCUUUGAAUGCAGGUGGUCGCAGGUUCAAUCCCUGACGGCAUCU
Zootoca vivipara (common lizard) is the source of this 72-nucleotide non-coding RNA. The record is from the annotation of a RefSeq genome assembly. NCBI's taxonomy places the organism in Eukaryota, Metazoa, Chordata, Lepidosauria, Squamata, Lacertidae.